CUGGUUAAUUCCGUUAACGAACGAGACCUUAACCUGCUAAAUAGCUACACGAAAUGCGUAUUUCGUGGCAAGCUUCUUAGAGGGACUUUGCGCGUCUANSUGAGGAAGUUUGAGGCAAUAACAGGUCUGUGAUGCCCUUAGAUGUUCUGGGCUGCACGCGCGCUACACUGAUGCGUCCAACGAGCUCUUUUCCUUGCCCGGUAGGUGGGGUAAUCUUGUGAACGCGCAUCGUGAUGGGGAUAGAUUAUUGCAAUUAUUAAUCUUCAACGAGGAAUUCCUAGUAAGCGCGAGUCAUCAGCUCGUGUUGAUUACGUCCCUGCCCUUUGUACACACCGCCCGUCGCUCCUACCGAUUGAAUGAUCCGGUGAAUACUUCAGACUGCGCUUGGUCUCGGUCUCCGAAGCCUAGCGUGGAACGUUUCGUGAACCUUAUCAUUUAGAGGAAGGAGAAGUCGUAACAAGGUUUCCGUAGUGAACCUGCRGAAGGAUCA
This 490-nucleotide ribosomal RNA is filed under the name uncultured Syndiniales. RNAcentral's name for it is "SSU rRNA". It matches the Rfam family "Eukaryotic small subunit ribosomal RNA". The record is from RNAcentral. Lineage: Eukaryota; Dinophyceae; Syndiniales.